Non-coding RNA from Malus domestica (apple), 1000 nucleotides. The record is from RefSeq and is a predicted model, not a curated record. Lineage: Eukaryota; Viridiplantae; Streptophyta; Magnoliopsida; Rosales; Rosaceae.
UGCUACUUUACUUACGAUGCUAUUGGUUUACUCCAACGAUAAUGGCUAGCUAGGAUAGCCUUUCUUUAUGUCUUAAUUAUUGAUAGUGCUAUCAUCAUGGCAGGCUAUGUUGGAGCAAAAACUGUGCAGGCAAAGACAUAAGAGUGAUGGAUUUUGGAAUGAAAUGCAGAGGAUAUCCUUUUGCGCUGCUUAAAGAAGAGCUCAACAUGAGGGUGCAAGAGAGCUAUUGGUACAAUAAAGAAAGGAAAAGUUGUACGCCACUACAUCACUACGCUGGGUGCUAGCCAACAUGAUAACAGUACUUACAAGAUAACAAUAACAAUAUAAAAAUGAUUAAGUGAAGGAAUGGUGAGGAUUGGAAAGCAGAUGAGUGUACAAGUGAGAGGAAGAUUGAAGAAGAAAGCAGUAAAAUGCAGUUGGGUCCUUAAUGCACUCCUAAAGAAUAGAUUGAGAAGUUUAAGGAUGUUGAGAGUUUGAGAAAUGCUGGAGAUUAAUUUCAAUUUGAAAAAAUCUCUGCUGCAUCUCGGUUCCUACAGUAAUUUUAGCUGCUGAAGUAGCUUUCAGUUGUCAAGGUUACUAGCAAUUGAGUGUGUUUUUUCCACUCAGCGUGCAUAAGACAAGUCAAAAGUGAUACUUCUGCUGAAAACUUAUCUGCAAAGUAAAUUUUGCUUCCGUGGUUGCAUGGUGCAUUGAUGCAUAAUUGUGCAACUCUAUUAUAAAAGAAAAAAUUGAUAUGGUGCUAAACUAUCAUACAACAUCCUAACCGUACAGGAAACGAAAAAAAUAGCUAAUUCAGCAAGGAGCUUACAGCGUUGACAAAUACGUUUUCAAGCAAUGAAGACAUGAACAUUCAAAGCUAUGUAAAAUUAAUUAAUACUUUAUUAAUUUUUUUUAUUGACGUUUUACAUUUAAUUACAAUUUUUGUCAAGCUUUCUCUUUAGGGGAUUUAGCUAUUACUAAUAUAUAUACAAAUUAUCUUUUCACAUGAUCUAAAUACAUG